GCCAGGUGCCGUGGCGCACACCUGUAAUCCCCAUGAUUCAGGAGGCUGAGGCAGGAGGAUCACAAGUUCAAAGCCAGCCUCAGCAAAAGCAAGGCACUAAGUAACUCAGUAAGACCCUGUCUCUA
Molecule: small RNA, 125 nt
Filed under: Marmota monax (woodchuck)
Lineage: Eukaryota; Metazoa; Chordata; Mammalia; Rodentia; Sciuridae
Source: RNAcentral